Long non-coding RNA from Herpailurus yagouaroundi (jaguarundi), 268 nucleotides. RefSeq lists it as uncharacterized. The record is from RefSeq and is a predicted model, not a curated record. NCBI's taxonomy places the organism in Eukaryota, Metazoa, Chordata, Mammalia, Carnivora, Felidae. The transcript is spliced from 3 exons.
ACGCUCUUCCAAUCAAGAACCCCCAAAAGGAAGCAACAGAAAGCAAUUUUCUUUCCUCUAAUUAGUAGCUUAUUGUUUUUAUAUCAGAAUCACUGAUUUGGGACCAAAUUCUCCUCAAGCAACUCUAUGAAUUAUUAUUUUUAGAAAAAUUGGUAUCUAUUCAUCUAUCUUUCCAAUUUCUUGUUGAGAUUCUUCCUCAGACAUUAAAAAGAAGAGGAAAAAGAGAAGGAGGAGGAGGAAGGAGGAGGAGGAGGAGGAGGAGGAGGAG